UACAGAGGUCUCAAGCGUUGUCCGGAUUUAUUGGGCGUAAAGAGCGUGUAGGCGGCUUUGCAAGUCCGUUGUGAAAACUCGAGGCUCAACCUCGAGACGCCGGUGGAAACUGCAAAGCUAGAGUCCGGAAGAGGAGAGUGGAAUUCCUGGUGUAGCGGUGAAAUGCGCAGAUAUCAGGAAGAACACCCGUGGCGAAGGCGGCUCUCUGGGACGGUACUGACGCUGAGACGCGAAAGCGUGGGGAGCGAACAGG
RNAcentral lists this ribosomal RNA (253 nucleotides) under uncultured bacterium. RNAcentral's name for it is "partial 16S ribosomal RNA". It matches the Rfam family "Bacterial small subunit ribosomal RNA", at positions 524 to 776 of the family's 1533-position model. The record is from RNAcentral.